This 429-nucleotide ribosomal RNA is filed under the name uncultured bacterium. RNAcentral's name for it is "bacterial SSU rRNA". It matches the Rfam family "Bacterial small subunit ribosomal RNA", at positions 29 to 526 of the family's 1533-position model. The record is from RNAcentral.
AAUGAACGCUAGAGGGGUGCUUAAUACAUGCGAGUCGAACGACAAAUUUAUUUUGUAGUGGCGUACGGGUGAGUAAUACACAAGAAUCUGCCUUUAAGAAGUUUUAAAUAAACUAUAUUCAAAGGGAUAAAUUCCGCUUAAAGAUGAGCUUGUGCAGGAUUAUGGUCGUUGGUAAGGUAAUGGCUUACCAAGCCGAGGAUCCUUAGCUGUUCUGAGAGGUUGAUCAGCCACACUGGGACUGAGACAAGGCCCAGGCUUUUAUAGAAGCCAGCAGUAGGGAAUUUUGGGCAAUGAGCGAAAGCUUGACCCAGCAACCCCUCAUGAAUGAGGACGGCACUUUUGUUGUAAAAUUCUAUGCUUAGCAAUGAUAAUGACAGUAGCUAAGUAAAUAAGCUCCGGCUAACUUCGUGCCAGCCGCCGCCGUAACAC